Molecule: non-coding RNA, 235 nt
Filed under: Levilactobacillus brevis
Lineage: Bacteria; Bacillati; Bacillota; Bacilli; Lactobacillales; Lactobacillaceae
Description: Lactobacillus brevis T-box sequence
Rfam family: T-box leader
About the family: Uncharged tRNA acts as the effector for transcription antitermination of genes in the T-box leader family.
Source: RNAcentral
CAACACGUGAUGAAGAGAAGAGUAGCAAUUAAUCGUUCUUCUAAAGAGAACUGCCAAGUGGUGAAAGGCGGUAAGAAAGAUAAUUGUGAAGAUGAGCUCUGAAUAAUGAUUGAUGUUGACGCAUCAAUCACGGAAGGAUCCGUUACUAUCCCUGGCAUCAAUAGGUGUCGUUGAGGUAAUUCAUGUAAGUGGGUUACGAAUUUAGGGUGGUAACACGAAAGCUUUCGUCCCUUGA